RNAcentral lists this transfer RNA (106 nucleotides) under Pilatotrama ljubarskyi. Its description in RNAcentral is "tRNA-Arg". It matches the Rfam family "tRNA". From Rfam's summary of the family: Transfer RNA (tRNA) molecules are approximately 80 nucleotides in length. Their secondary structure includes four short double-helical elements and three loops (D, anti-codon, and T loops). The record is from RNAcentral. Lineage: Eukaryota; Fungi; Basidiomycota; Agaricomycetes; Polyporales; Polyporaceae.
GGCUACCUGGCGCAAUGGUAGCGCGUUUGGCUUCGAUCGCCGGACGGCUAUUGCCGAAAGAUCCCGUGUUACCAAAAGGUUGCAGGUUCGAGUCCUGCGGUGGUCA